RNAcentral lists this ribosomal RNA (500 nucleotides) under uncultured bacterium. RNAcentral describes it as "partial 16S ribosomal RNA". It matches the Rfam family "Bacterial small subunit ribosomal RNA", at positions 30 to 523 of the family's 1533-position model. The record is from RNAcentral.
AUUGAACGCUGGCGGAAUGCUUUACACAUGCAAGUCGAACGGCAGCACGGACUUCGGUCUGGUGGCGAGUGGCGAACGGGUGAGUAAUGUAUCGGAACGUGCCCAGUCGUGGGGGAUAACGUAGUGAAAAUUACGCUAAUACCGCAUACGAUCUAUGGAUGAAAGCGGGGGAUCGCAAGACCUCGCGCGAUUGGAGCGGCCGAUAUCAGAUUGGGUAGUUGGUGGGGUAAAGGCCCACCAAGCCAACGAUCUGUAGCUGGUCUGAGAGGACGACCAGCCACACUGGAACUGAGACACGGCCCAGACUCCUACGGGAGGCAGCAGUGGGGAAUUUUGGACAAUGGGCGAAAGCCUGAUCCAGCCAUUCCGCGUGCAGGAUGAAGGCCCUCGGGUUGUAAACUGCUUUUGUACAGAACGAAAAGGUUUCUACUAAUACUAGGAGCUCAUGACGGUACUGUAAGAAUAAGCACCGGCUAACUACGUGCCAGCCGCCGCGGUAA